AACUUUACACAGUGGUAGUACCAUAGCCAAUGAAGCUUAUCCAAGGUGCAAUUAACACUAUUUGAAAACUUUACCCAAUAUGCUGCAGUAUAAUCAGCAGUGAUAAUCUUUGACAAUCUCUAUGGUGA
This is a small nuclear RNA of Cricetulus griseus (Chinese hamster), 128 nucleotides long. Its record names the gene U4. It matches the Rfam family "U4 spliceosomal RNA". Rfam says of the family: U4 small nuclear RNA (U4 snRNA) is a component of the major U2-dependent spliceosome. The structure of U4 snRNA from yeast and human has been reported. U4 snRNA presents a k-turn RNA motif in the 5p-SL related to recognition of Snu13 protein. The record is from Ensembl. NCBI's taxonomy places the organism in Eukaryota, Metazoa, Chordata, Mammalia, Rodentia, Cricetidae.